CCUACGGGUGGCAGCAGUGAGGAAUAUUGGUCAAUGGGCGCGAGCCUGAACCAGCCAAGUCGCGUGAGGGAAGACGGUCCUAUGGAUUGUAAACUUCUUUUGUAGGGGAGUAAAAGUCGCCACGCGUGGGGUUCUGAGAGUAUCCUACGAAUAAGCAUCGGCUAACUCCGUGCCAGCAGCCGCGGUAAUACGGAGGAUGCGAGCGUUAUCCGGAUUUAUUGGGUGUAAAGGGCGUGUAGGCGGGAGGGCAAGUCAGAUGUGAAAUCUCAGGGCUCAACCCUGAGCCUGCAUUUGAUACUGUGUUACUUGAGUGCGGAAGAGGCAGUCGGAAUGACGUGUGUAGCGGUGAAAUGCGUAGAUAUACGGAAGAACACCAGUGGCGAAGGCAGAUUGCUAAACAGUAACUGACGCUGAGGCGCGAAAGCGUGGGGAGCGAACAGGAUUAGAUACCCGGGUAGUC
RNAcentral lists this ribosomal RNA (460 nucleotides) under uncultured bacterium. RNAcentral's name for it is "partial 16S ribosomal RNA". It matches the Rfam family "Bacterial small subunit ribosomal RNA", at positions 338 to 795 of the family's 1533-position model. The record is from RNAcentral.